RNAcentral lists this long non-coding RNA (228 nucleotides) under Mytilus galloprovincialis (Mediterranean mussel). The record is from RNAcentral. Lineage: Eukaryota; Metazoa; Mollusca; Bivalvia; Mytilida; Mytilidae.
CCCAACAAUGGGUUGACCAAUUCAUCUGAAAAUUUCAGGGCAGAUAGAUCUUGACCUGAUAAACAUUUUUACCCCAUGUCAGAUUUGCUCUAAAUGCUUUGGUUUUUGAGUUAUAAGCCAAAAACUGCAUUUUACCCCUAUGUUCUAUUUUUAGCCGUGGCGGCCAUCUUGGUUGGUUGACCGGGUCACGCCACACAUUUUUAAAACUAGAUACCCCAAUGAUGAUUG